This 449-nucleotide ribosomal RNA is filed under the name uncultured bacterium. RNAcentral's name for it is "partial 16S ribosomal RNA". It matches the Rfam family "Bacterial small subunit ribosomal RNA", at positions 29 to 523 of the family's 1533-position model. The record is from RNAcentral.
AAUGAACGCUGGCGGCAGGCCUAACACAUGCAAGUCGAACGGAUCCUUCGGGAUUAGUGGCGGACGGGUAAGUAACGCGUGGGAACAUACCCAAAGGUACGGAAUAGCCUCGGGACACUGGGAGUAAUACCGUAUGUGCUCGAAAGAGGGAAGAGUUAUCGCCUUUGGAUUGGCCCGCGUUGGAUUAGGUAGUUGGUGGGGUAAUGGCCUACCAAGCCGACGAUCCAUAGCUGGUUUGAGAGGAUGAUCAGCCACACUGGGACUGAGACACGGCCCAGACUCCUACGGGAGGCAGCAGUGGGGAAUCUUAGACAAUGGGGGAAACCCUGAUCUAGCCAUGCCGCGUGAUCGAUGAAGGCCUUAGGGUUGUAAAGAUCUUUCAGGUGGGAAGAUAAUGACUGUACCACCAGAAGAAGCCCCGGCUAACUCCGUGCCAGCAGCCGCAGUAA